RNAcentral lists this ribosomal RNA (253 nucleotides) under uncultured bacterium. RNAcentral's name for it is "partial 16S ribosomal RNA". It matches the Rfam family "Bacterial small subunit ribosomal RNA", at positions 524 to 776 of the family's 1533-position model. The record is from RNAcentral.
UACGGAAGGGGCAAGCGUUGUUCGGAAUCAUUGGGCGUAAAGGGCGCGUAGGUGGUUCUGUAUGUCUACCGUGAAAGCGUACGGCUCAACCGUAUUUUGUCGGUAGAAACUGCAGGACUUGAGGCUGGGAGGGGCUGGUGGAAUUCCCUGUGUAGCGGUGAAAUGCGUAGAGAUGGGGGAGAACACUCGUGGCGAAGGCGGCCAGCUAGAACAGUUCUGACACUGAGGCGCGACAGCGUGGGGAGCAAACAGG